RNAcentral lists this ribosomal RNA (326 nucleotides) under uncultured soil bacterium. RNAcentral describes it as "bacterial SSU rRNA". It matches the Rfam family "Bacterial small subunit ribosomal RNA", at positions 26 to 353 of the family's 1533-position model. The record is from RNAcentral.
AGGACGAACGCUGGCGGCGUGCUUAACACAUGCAAGUCGAGCGGAAAGGCCACUUCGGUGGUACUCGAGCGGCGAACGGGUGAGUAACACGUGAGUAAUCUGCCCCUGGCUUUGGGAUAGCCACCGGAAACGGUGAUUAAUACCGGAUACGACCGCUCCUCGCAUGAGGUGGUGGUGGAAAGUUUUUCGGCCAGGGAUGUGCUCGCGGCCUAUCAGCUUGAUGGUGAGGUAAUGGCUCACCAUGGCUUCGACGGGUAGCCGGCCUGAGAGGGUGACCGGUCACGACUGGGACUGAGACACGGCCCAGACUCCGUACGGGAGCAGCA